Long non-coding RNA from Cercocebus atys (sooty mangabey), 633 nucleotides. RefSeq lists it as uncharacterized. NCBI's taxonomy places the organism in Eukaryota, Metazoa, Chordata, Mammalia, Primates, Cercopithecidae. The record is from RefSeq and is a predicted model, not a curated record. The transcript has 3 exons.
GGUUACACAUUUCCUGAGAGUGUCUACAUAUUCAUAGGCAACAUCGAUGUGAAUGUGACAGAUUAGCCCCAGAAAGAAAGCAAUGUGAAAAAGAAACAUAGAUUUGAAGGCAAUCUUGAAGACCACACAGAAAACCAGGCUAUGAAUCAAAGAAGAAAAUCAAAAUCACACUUCAUAACUGCUUCAGUAACCCUGGCAACAGACGCCACGCUGGAUGUUGGCUAAUAACACUAAAAUUUUUGCUGGUGAGGUCUUCAGAAACCGGAUAGGUGUGUAGCCACCAGAACAGAAGUGGAUCGGGCAUGAUAUCUAAUUCUUCAAUUUGUAGUUUUAUAGUCAAAACUGGCAUGUAUAUACUUAAUCUGUAGCACGUAAGUCACAAGCCUCUAUCCCAACUUUAGGAGAGAUUGAGAACUUAAUUUCUGGCUUCUACCUUGGGAAGGAUCAGACUCAUAAGCUGGAAAAUUAGCCAACAUACACAGGAUAUUCAAAGCUUCUAGGCAGUCACAAUAUUGUCAAGUGGUAAAACAGACAUCAAAAAACCUUUUUCUCUCCCCAAGAUUUAAAAAAUUUAACUUCCUUAAUUGUGGCUUUCCAUAAAAUUAAAAGAGUCUUGGGAGAGAGAACACCUCA